GCUGGGUGCAGUGGCACACACCUGUAAUCCCAGCUGCUCAGGAGGCUGAGGCAGAAGGAUCACGAGUUCAAGGCCAGCCUCAGCAAAAAUGAGGCACUAAGCAACUCAGUGAGACCCUGUCUCUA
RNAcentral lists this small RNA (125 nucleotides) under Marmota monax (woodchuck). The record is from RNAcentral. Lineage: Eukaryota; Metazoa; Chordata; Mammalia; Rodentia; Sciuridae.